This is a long non-coding RNA of Phycodurus eques (leafy seadragon), 1295 nucleotides long. RefSeq lists it as uncharacterized. Lineage: Eukaryota; Metazoa; Chordata; Actinopteri; Syngnathiformes; Syngnathidae. The transcript has 7 exons. The record is from RefSeq and is a predicted model, not a curated record.
CAUGAUGGAUGACUGACGGUUGGAAACCAUUUGGAAGUGGUGAGCGCGGACUCGGAAAAGAUGCUGAACCAACGAGAGCAGGUCGGCGGUGCGCCGUCGGUGGUGAGCAUCAGCCUCCUUCCUGUUGGAGUGAUAUUAAGACAGACCUUUUCCGAGCUGGUCUUGGGCCCAGUUCGCCAUCCUCCGCGACCUUUGCCAGCGAAUUCAAACACAAAGUGGAGGAAAUGUGCUGACACGUACCGCGCCUUACGUCAAAAAAACCCCGAACGCAUUCCAGAUUUUCAUGAAGGAGCAGCGGCCUUUUGUGAAGGCAGCUGCGCCAUGACAAGACAGCGCCGCUGUCAACAAGUGGAAGUCGCUGACGCCGGCUGAGCAGCUCAGAUACUUCCAAGAAUCUGAGCACCACCAGGUACCCGGACUGGACCUACAGAGACAACUACGGAAAAAAGCAAAAGAGAAAGGGGGGCAGUGCAGCCACCAGCGUAAAUCAUCUGACCGAAGCGCACGAAACGACUUGUGGUGCAAUUGAAGACAACUUUCCCCAGCAGAAGACCUGAUGCAACCUGCGGCCAGCGUCUGGCGGCCUGAGAGAUUUGGUGGUCAACUUUGGGGAAAGCGUCCUGACACUCAAGCUCCUGUCUUCAUUUGUCUUUACGGUGCCAUGACGCAAAAUCCAAUUGCGAGAAACAAAUCUUAAAUUGUCUCACUUGAGCCGUGCAGGGUAAAUCCAGCCUAAAUCAUAAGAGAUGACCCGUGGACGUCUCGGACGAACUUCCCCAGCCGCCACUGCCAUUAAAGCAAUUCCUUUUUUAACAUGUCGUAACACGCUCCCUCAAAACUCUCGUAUCUCAAGUCCUCUUUUUCCAUUGAAAUUCCCGUUCCAGCCACCCAAAAACAGCAUCAAAAUAAAAUAGCGCUUCUCCUGUCCAAACUACAGUAAUCCCCAUUAUAUAGAACGUACAGAAUUCAAAGGUUUCAGCUCACAUGUUUCAUGCUUUCAUUUCGGGCUCACCACCAUUUUUGAAACUGAGAGCUGCUGCUGAUGAAUGCAAACGGCUACCAGUUUAAAGCACAGUUCUGAAAUAACAAACAAUUUGGACUCAGGAAUUCCAUUCGUUCCGUGACCAGUAUUGCAUAUCGCAGAUGUCAAAAGCAUCACUUUUCACCUCCACACCCAAAAAAGGCCUGUUUGUUGAACCUUUAACAUUGCAUGUCAAAGAGAACACACCAUCAGCACUUUAGAUUGUUCAAUAAUUUGUAAAAAAAAAAGACACACAAAAUAAUCAUUGUAUAAA